CGCAAGUCGUGCGGUAAGGUUCUCACAGUUUGCUGGAUACGAAGACAGGACGCGGGGAUUUCUUGAAAAGAAAUCAGCCGCAUCAAUCACGAAGUGAUUGAACACUAGCUUCGAGUCUAUCAAGCAAGAUGUGAGAACACACGAGCGGCGGACGGGUGAGUAAUGCAUAGGAACGUGCCCCAAGGUGAGGGAUAACUGCUCGAAAGAGUAGCUAAUACCGCAUAUUAUCUUCGGAUCAAAGCUUCGGCGCUUUGGGAGCGGCCUAUGUCUGAUUAGCUAGUUGGUAGGGUAAAUGCCUACCAAGGCGACGAUCAGUAGCUGGUUUGAGAGGAUGAUCAGCCACACUGGGACUGAGACACGGCCCAGACUCCCACGGGAGGCAGCAGUAGGGAAUUUUCCACAAUGGGGGCAACCCUGAUGGAGCAACGCCGCGUGCAGGAUGAAGGCCUUCGGGUCGUAAACUGCUUUUAUCUGUGACGAUUUUGACGGUAGCAGAUGAAUAAGGAUCGGCUAACUACGUGCCAGCAGCCGCGGUCAUACGUAGGAUCCAAGCGUUAUCCGGAAUUACUGGGCGUAAAGAGUUGCGUAGGUGGCAGAGUAAGCGAAUCAUGAAAUCUUAUGGCUCAACCACAUGGCUAUGAUUUGAACUGCUCAGCUUGAGCACGAGAGAGGUAACUGGAAUUCCUAGUGUAGGAGUGAAAUCCGUAGAUAUUAGGAGGAACACCGAUGGCGUAGGCAGGUUACUGGCUCGUUGCUGACACUAAGGCACGAAAGCGUGGGGAGCAAAUGGGAUUAGAUACCCCAGUAGUCCACGCUGUAAACGAUGGGAUGCUAGCUGUUAUGAGUAUCGACCCUCGUAGUAGCGAAGCUAAACGCGUUAAGCAUCCAG
RNAcentral lists this ribosomal RNA (889 nucleotides) under uncultured bacterium. RNAcentral describes it as "bacterial SSU rRNA". It matches the Rfam family "Bacterial small subunit ribosomal RNA", at positions 56 to 871 of the family's 1533-position model. The record is from RNAcentral.